RNAcentral lists this long non-coding RNA (802 nucleotides) under Struthio camelus australis. Its description in RNAcentral is "lncRNA (ENSSCUG00000015193.1)". The record is from RNAcentral. Lineage: Eukaryota; Metazoa; Chordata; Aves; Struthioniformes; Struthionidae.
CUUGGAGCAGAUUUUCUUGCACUACAAACUUUACCUUUACUUGGAGAAAGCAGGCAUGUGCCUCUGACUCUGCUGCCCGCUGCUAUGUGCCUUAUGUCAGUGUAAGUUACCUUCUAUGUGUUUGAUUCUACUUUUUUCUAUGCUGCUCUAGAAUCUCUUCCCAUUCAUUCAAAGUAAAUAAGAGAUUCAGCACACAGGAGACGGACGUACUGGGAUUAGACUGACAAGCAUGACCUCAUCCCAGCCUAUCCCAACCUGCUGUCCACGCUGCAUUCGAAUGAUGAAAAGUGCUCUUCUGACCGGGAAUGAGCACCUGAGCCCCUGGUUGAGGUUGGGCAUGCCAAGGAGCCAGCAUUAUCACUAUGAAACAACACUACCUGUAUCAGCAGUGACAACGAGUGGCUCUGCCUGGGACCUGCCGAGUGGAAUUAGUCUCUAAGGCUCAGAAAAUCUUUUCUGAACCUCUAACCCAAAAAGCACACACAGGGGGCACUUUUUUUUGCAAAGCAAUAUGAGAUACAAACCUCAUUUCAGCCUUUCACAUCCACCAAAUUACCCAAAACACCAUUCAGCUGUGCUACAUGCCACAUGCAAGACUCAAGUCCUUCAGAUAACUGGCUGCCUCCCUAGGAGAAUAUUGCAUUGGUCGCAUAAGCCCAGGCCAAGCAGAACUGAGAGAGUCCCGCAAUCCAGCGCAUUAUUUUUCUUACUGGAAAGAUGCCCUACUGGGGGCAGGCACCCAAUGGGCAAAGCAGUGGCAUGUGCUGAAAAUGCCACUGCAGCCUGCUACACGCCUCCAUGA